This 198-nucleotide ribosomal RNA is filed under the name uncultured bacterium. RNAcentral's name for it is "partial 16S ribosomal RNA". It matches the Rfam family "Bacterial small subunit ribosomal RNA", at positions 1302 to 1500 of the family's 1533-position model. The record is from RNAcentral.
AGUCUGCAACUCGACUGCAUGAAGUCGGAAUCGCUAGUAAUCGCGGAUCAGCAUGCCGCGGUGAAUACGUUCCCGGGCCUUGUACACACCGCCCGUCACACCAUGAGAGUCGGGAACACCCGAAGUCCGUAGCCUAACCGCAAGGGGGCGCGGCCGAAGGUGGGUUCGAUAAUUGGGGUGAAGUCGUAACAAGGUACC